UCCAAUUUUGAUCAAGAGAGUCACUCACCGUUUGAUCUUAGAUCCGACAUCUCAAAGUAUUUUAUUUUAGUUUUUUUUAUACAAAUUGUAUGAAUAUGAAAUUUGAUACAUGUCAUCUUCUCAUUGGGGCGCACCUAUAAAAAAAUAUUAAAAAUAAUUUUGCAAUAAAAUAUAAUGACUAAAAUACCACUUAAAAUGUUAAGGGUAUUUUGGUCAUUUUAUAUUCUUAGAAAUAUUUUGUUUUAUAUUUUUCACUAGUGCGAGUUUAAUAGAGGAUUAGACGUGCACAAAAUGCUGCUAAAAUAGCUUGUAUAAAAAAAUUAAAAAUAAAAUAAUGUAUAGACAUGUCAUUGUGAUU
This 358-nucleotide long non-coding RNA is filed under the name Amborella trichopoda. RNAcentral describes it as "long non-coding RNA (ATRI_LNC004460)". The record is from RNAcentral. Lineage: Eukaryota; Viridiplantae; Streptophyta; Magnoliopsida; Amborellales; Amborellaceae.